RNAcentral lists this ribosomal RNA (519 nucleotides) under uncultured bacterium. Its description in RNAcentral is "bacterial SSU rRNA". It matches the Rfam family "Bacterial small subunit ribosomal RNA", at positions 8 to 518 of the family's 1533-position model. The record is from RNAcentral.
AGAGUUUGAUCCUGGCUUAGGAUGAACGCUAGCUACAGGCUUAACACAUGCAAGUCGAGGGGCAUCGAGAGGAAAGCUGCUUCCUGUCGGCGACCGGCGCACGGGUGAGUAACGCGUAUCCAACCUUCCCCUUAGUAGGGCAUAGCCCGGCGAAAGUCGGAUUAAUACCCUAUGUUUUCCGAUGAGGACAUCUGAGCUGGAAUAAAGAUUUAUCGCUAAGGGAUGGGGAUGCGUCUGAUUAGGUAGUCGGCGGGGUAACGGCCCACCGAGCCAACGAUCAGUAGGGGUUCUGAGAGGAAGGUCCCCCACAUUGGUACUGAGACACGGACCAAACUCCUACGGGAGGCAGCAGUGAGGAAUAUUGGUCAAUGGGCGAGAGCCUGAACCAGCCAAAGUAGCGUGCAGGAUGACGGCCCUAUGGGUUGUAAACUGCUUUUAUCGGGGGAUAAAGUGAGGGACGCGUCCCUUUUUGUAGGUACCCGAUGAAUAAGGACCGGCUAAUUCCGUGCCAGCAGCCGC